GGAGAGGUGACCGAGCGGUCGAAGGUGCAGCACUGGAAAUGCUGUGUAGUCCAAAAGGCUACCGGGGGUUCGAAUCCCCCCCUCUCCGCCA
RNAcentral lists this transfer RNA (91 nucleotides) under Kiritimatiellia bacterium. Its description in RNAcentral is "Kiritimatiellae bacterium (sediment metagenome) tRNA-Ser". It matches the Rfam family "tRNA". Rfam says of the family: Transfer RNA (tRNA) molecules are approximately 80 nucleotides in length. Their secondary structure includes four short double-helical elements and three loops (D, anti-codon, and T loops). Further hydrogen bonds mediate the characteristic L-shaped molecular structure. tRNAs have two regions of fundamental functional importance: the anti-codon, which is responsible for specific mRNA codon recognition, and the 3' end, to which the tRNAs corresponding amino acid is attached (by aminoacyl-tRNA synthetases). tRNAs cope with the degeneracy of the genetic code in two manners: having more than one tRNA (with a specific anti-codon) for a particular amino acid; and 'wobble' base-pairing, i.e. permitting non-standard base-pairing at the 3rd anti-codon position. Lineage: Bacteria; Pseudomonadati; Kiritimatiellota; Kiritimatiellia. The record is from RNAcentral.